Molecule: transfer RNA, 72 nt
Filed under: Ipomoea nil (Japanese morning glory)
Lineage: Eukaryota; Viridiplantae; Streptophyta; Magnoliopsida; Solanales; Convolvulaceae
Rfam family: tRNA
About the family: Transfer RNA (tRNA) molecules are approximately 80 nucleotides in length. Their secondary structure includes four short double-helical elements and three loops (D, anti-codon, and T loops). Further hydrogen bonds mediate the characteristic L-shaped molecular structure. tRNAs have two regions of fundamental functional importance: the anti-codon, which is responsible for specific mRNA codon recognition, and the 3' end, to which the tRNAs corresponding amino acid is attached (by aminoacyl-tRNA synthetases). tRNAs cope with the degeneracy of the genetic code in two manners: having more than one tRNA (with a specific anti-codon) for a particular amino acid; and 'wobble' base-pairing, i.e. permitting non-standard base-pairing at the 3rd anti-codon position.
Source: Rfam by way of RNAcentral
GGAUCCGUGGUGUAAUGGUAACGCGUCUGACUCUAGAUCAGAAGGUUGCGUGUUCGAUUCACGUCGGGUUCA